Phyllostomus discolor (pale spear-nosed bat) is the source of this 3164-nucleotide long non-coding RNA. RefSeq lists it as uncharacterized. The transcript has 2 exons. The record is from RefSeq and is a predicted model, not a curated record. NCBI's taxonomy places the organism in Eukaryota, Metazoa, Chordata, Mammalia, Chiroptera, Phyllostomidae.
AGAAACAUCAAUUUAUUGUUCCAUUUAUUUAUCAAUUCAUUGGCUGAUUCUUGUAUGUGCUCUGACCUGGGAUCAAACCCACAACCUUGGUGGAUCAGGAGAAUGUUCUAACCAACUGAGCUGCCUUGCUAGGGCCUAUCACCCUUGUCUGAUGCAGAGAAUGUAUAUUCUAAGAGGAGCUUACUUUCGGGGGUUUUUUCUCCAAUUAAACAUUUAAGGCUCUUUUUGACUUAAUAUAUUAGAUGAUGAGAUUUUUUUAAAGAUGCUUUGCAUCAGCCGUGCCCAGUCUCCACAAGCAGACUGGUACCUCUUAGGGCUGCACAGCAGGAGCUGAGCUUGAAUGUAAUGUGCUUGAAUCAUCCUGAAACCAUCCCCUGCACCCCGUCCAUGGAAAAACUGUCUUCCACAAAUCUGUCCCUGAUGCUAAAAAGGUGGGGGGCUGCUGCUUUGGAUAGUCCCUAUAAACUUCACUAAGUCUUUCCCUCUUAAAGCAUACUUAGCAUACCUUAGUAUACUUUUCUCACUUAACUGCUUUCUCUACCAAUGUUCUUUGCCAAAAAAACUUUGUCUGCUCCUCCUAAUCCUUUUCCCAACUGUCAGCUUUCUGCAUUUUUCCUCAAGAGUGACCUUACAUACCUGAGUUUUCCGAAAUAAAAUUCUCAAGGUUAAAGCAAAGCAACAAUCUAAUUAUAAGCUUUGUAAGGGAAACAGGUGGUUUUAAGACCUGGGCAGAUAGGAGGGUGGGAAGUGACUGACAUGUACUUUAUUCCAAGUAAAUAUUUAAUAAUGUGUAUUGCUUUUGUGCUUCUCUUUUCUCACAUGCUCUUUAUCUGAAGCCAUUAGAUUUUCAUCUGUUAAGGAUUUGCAAAAGACUGCAGCAGGCUCAGAAGGGGCAUUUUAAUAGAGGCCUUAAUAUUUUCAGCAAAGUUGAACAUUGAGAAUUUCUUAUAAUUUAUGUGUUUGAAAAUAUCUGGGAUUAUUUCUGUUAAUUUUCUCAGAAUGAAUUCUGUUGUUUUAUUGGCAUGGUUCUACUUCAGUCCAAUCUAACCUUUUAAAGGAAGUUUAUCAUUUAAGUCAGAUUGAGGGGAAGUACAGGUAGUAGCAAUUCAUUGAUGUUGGAGCAAUUUUAACUUUCUCUUCCAGCCUGUCCUUUCCCCUCCAGUCUUCAUAUUAAAACUAUUUAGUUAAGAUUCUCAGUGACUAAUUAUUCCUAUCAUAGAAUUUUCUAAAUUAUCAUCAUUUAAAUAAAGUUGAUGGAAGCAUACUUUAUUCCCUACUUUAUUCUGAGCAUAGAAAGGAUUCUAUUCUAUAAAUAGAAUCCUUUGAUACAUUAACCCUAAAUCUUUUAUUUAACUAUAAAUAUCAGUACCCAAAAAAAGGGUUCCCUAUGUUAAUCCAUUUUAAUCCAUUGACUUGUGUUUUUUUUUUUUUGAGUCGGAAUGCAAAAAGGAAACAGUAGGAGGUAGAUAGUCUUUGGGCAACAGGAUACAGGGGUGGGGGCAGGAAGGGCAGCUAAAGCUUGGUUAUUCCCCUUCAGCCUCUGGGAUGUAAUUGUGUGGUGAAUGGGAAUACUUUUGGGAAGACUGCACAAAGCACUGGUAAUACCUUCACUGAAGAAAGAAAAUAUUUCUAAUGUAUUUCUCUAUGCUGAAUUGACAACCAUUGAAACAUGGCUAACUUUGAAUAACUCACACUUUCUAAUAUUUUUUUCAAGAGGAGUGGGUGUCUGCAUCUACUGCCACAGAUAAAAUGUAGCCUUUAUAGGUAAAUUAAAUGUAGAAUUAACUCAAUCCAAAAGUUCACUUAAAUGACAGGAAUUUGCUUAUAUGUCUUCUACCUCCUAGCCCUUAGCCCUGAUUUAUUUUGUUGUUGCUGCUCUUAUUGUAAUACUUUUUAGUUAAAUAUAGAACUGUGUUACUAUAAUAAAGGCCUUUUAUUGGGGUGGGGGAGAAUGAGGGUAAAAAAAGCCAAAUGCCUCUAAAGCAACUUCUCCCAACCUCUGCAGGCCAAAUAAACUAAGGAGGGAAGAACUAAGAUAAUGAUGGAGACCUAUAUCAGAUUGUUAUUCAGCCUUCCCAUACUUUGUAAGAAUCCGUCUAGCCAGUUUGCUUUUCCAGUAAAAAUCUCACGUGCAGGAAGACAAAGACUGCUCUUUAUAUGCAAAGCACACUUUUUAGGAAUGAGAUCAUCAAAAAUUAGAGGACAAAAACCAGUAUGUGUUAAACUCCAAUAAAAUUGACAGUGUUGAAAUUUUAAGUUCAAGAAAUAACAAUUGAACAUGAACUUCCUGAUUAUAGUGGGAAGAAAGUAGGUUUAGCACUUUUUUUGUCCAAUUAUGUUAAAAAUACUGAGGGUUCUGCCAGGAAUCAGUAAAAACUAAAAAUAACUUGGAUGUUGAAGAAUUCCUAGGCAUUAUUCUCUGACAUGAGACUAGGUUUUAUCUUAUUUAUAUUGUAUUAUAAUUAGGUUUUUGUAGUACAAAUAAGAAAGAAAAAAGUGUCUGUCAUUUUAAUGUAGUGCAUUGAUUCCUAAGUGGCCUGCAAUUAAUUGCUGUUCUCAACAAACAUCAGUUGAAAUACAUAUGUAUGAGCUGACUAGUCAAAUAGCAAUGAAAGUUACAAAAUGAAAAAGAAAUGUUCUCAACCCCCAACCCUUCCCCACAAAAUAACAUGAACAGUCUUAAAUCCAAAACUUAUUUGAAACUGGGCUAGAUGUCCAGAUGAAUCAGUAUUUUCCCUUCUUAAGAUUCAGAAAUUAAUGCAGAUUGAAGUUUUCACUAUCAAUUCAAGACUGAGGUGUUGAUGUGUGAAGUACUAUUGACCAAGCCAGGAAAAGUUUUAUGAAGGGCCAGAAAACACCUGCUCGGCCCUUUUUAACUACCUUUCACAAGGCAGUGGUAUCUGGGAGAUUCUGCCUUCACAAAGGAUAACUGAAAAGCAGGCAAUAUCAGUGAUAGCUAAUGUUGUAUUGAACUCGGUGUGUACACCAGGUGUUUUGCUAAGCUUUUCAUGCACCAUCACUUUUAUCCAUAACAAUCUCAUGAAAUACAAUCUUAUUUCCUGGUUUUCAAAUGUGGAUCUAAGGCUGAAGUGUGAAGUCUCCUUUGGCAAGUUUACUCAGUUAAUAAGCAGUGAAGUUGGGAUUCAGACGCCAGUCAUCUGAUU